Molecule: small nuclear RNA, 22 nt
Filed under: Arabidopsis thaliana (thale cress)
Lineage: Eukaryota; Viridiplantae; Streptophyta; Magnoliopsida; Brassicales; Brassicaceae
Description: snRNA_03182
Source: RNAcentral
GAUGUUCUAUCGUGUCGAUUCC